This 68-nucleotide transfer RNA is filed under the name Pseudoalteromonas sp. S4389. Its description in RNAcentral is "tRNA-Lys". It matches the Rfam family "tRNA", at positions 14 to 71 of the family's 71-position model. From Rfam's summary of the family: Transfer RNA (tRNA) molecules are approximately 80 nucleotides in length. Their secondary structure includes four short double-helical elements and three loops (D, anti-codon, and T loops). Lineage: Bacteria; Pseudomonadati; Pseudomonadota; Gammaproteobacteria; Alteromonadales; Pseudoalteromonadaceae. The record is from RNAcentral.
AGGACAUACCCUUCAGCAGUGGACUUUUAAUCCAUUGGUCGAUGGUUCAAGUCCAUCAUGACCCACCA